ACCAAAAGUAGUGAAGUAAUAGUUACAUUUAGUUUCGACCUAAAAAUUAGAGAACACGUUUCUCCUUACUU
RNAcentral lists this transfer RNA (71 nucleotides) under Sclomina pallens. RNAcentral's name for it is "tRNA-Arg". The record is from RNAcentral. Lineage: Eukaryota; Metazoa; Arthropoda; Insecta; Hemiptera; Reduviidae.